Molecule: ribosomal RNA, 460 nt
Filed under: uncultured bacterium
Lineage: Bacteria
Description: partial 16S ribosomal RNA
Rfam family: Bacterial small subunit ribosomal RNA
Source: RNAcentral
CCUACGGGUGGCAGCAGUGAGGAAUAUUGGUCAAUGGACGAGAGUCUGAACCAGCCAAGUAGCGUGAAGGAUGACUGCCCUAUGGGUUGUAAACUUCUUUUAUCAAGGAAUAAAACGAGGACCGUUUGCCUUUUUGCAUGACCUUUAUGAAUAAGGAUCGGGAAACCCCGUCCAACCAGCCGAGUUAUUACGGAGGUGCCGAUGGUUUUCCGGAUUUAUUGGGUUUAAAGGGAGCGUAGCUGGGUUGUUAAGUCAGUUGUGAAAGUUGGCGGCUCAACCGUAAUAUUGCAAUUGAUACUGGCGUUCUUGAGUACAGUUGAGGUAGGCGGAAUUCGUGGUGUAGCGGUGAAAUGCUUAGAUAUCACGAAGAACCCCGAUUGCGAAGGCAGCUUACUGAUCUAUAACUGACAUUGAUGCUCGAAAGUGUGGGUAUCAAACAGGAUUAGAUACCCCUGUAGUC